CUGGACGGAACUUGGAAGAUAAGUUUUCAUUUACACUGAAAUAGUUUCUGUGCAAUUCAGAAUGUCCAGA
Molecule: transfer RNA, 70 nt
Filed under: Tanaocerus koebelei
Lineage: Eukaryota; Metazoa; Arthropoda; Insecta; Orthoptera; Pneumoridae
Description: tRNA-Val
Source: RNAcentral